GCCAGGUGGGUGUGGACGGCAUGGGGACGCGCCGCGUGAACUUCCCGGGAGCGCUGUGGCGUGCAGAAGGAGAGGACUUGGUGAGGAGCUGCUGCCACCCGAGCUGGGCCAGGACCUGAGAUCUCAUUGCUACUGCUGCUGCUGCUGUCUGGGAGACCUUUCUGAGACCCAGGUUGGGGACAGUGCCGGAGGGGCCUCCUCUGCUGCAGACAUCUGGCCGCAGGAGGGAGCUGGCUGGACCGAAGCUGGGCACACAUGGACAGGAACCAGGUGCAGAUGGGUCUCUUCCUUCCUGCCCACCGUCUCUCACUCAACCCCUGCUCAUGCGCGCUCUCCAGCCACCUAUGGGAAUCGUGUGAAGUUCUGAGCCCGGAAGCCAAGGAGGAAGAAGAGGAGGAGGAGGAGUGAGAGGAGGUCAAUCCCUGAGAACCUGUGCACCUUCUCAGCAGGAGACAAGCAGCCACGCUUGUGGGGGGGAGCAGGCUGUGGGGCCCACCCUCACGCCAGCCAGCCUAGUGCCUGCCGUAGCACCCCAGAAGGCCCCCAGCAGUUGGCACUAGCUGUACCCACCUUGCCUGGGGCCCUCGUGCUGGGGGUCUCCCCCAAGAUGGUGGCAGCCCCG
Molecule: long non-coding RNA, 622 nt
Filed under: Aotus nancymaae (Ma's night monkey)
Lineage: Eukaryota; Metazoa; Chordata; Mammalia; Primates; Aotidae
Description: lncRNA (ENSANAG00000039401.1)
Source: RNAcentral